Molecule: transfer RNA, 74 nt
Filed under: Acanthogobius hasta (javeline goby)
Lineage: Eukaryota; Metazoa; Chordata; Actinopteri; Gobiiformes; Gobiidae
Also listed under: 2 other names
Description: tRNA-Leu
Source: RNAcentral
GUUAAGGUGGCAGAAUACGGAUAUGCAAAAGAUCUAAGAUCUUUCCCAUGGAGGCUCAAAUCCUCCCCUUAACU